Non-coding RNA from Cajanus cajan (pigeon pea), 304 nucleotides. NCBI's taxonomy places the organism in Eukaryota, Viridiplantae, Streptophyta, Magnoliopsida, Fabales, Fabaceae. The record is from RefSeq and is a predicted model, not a curated record.
AAAUUUCUCUCACACAUUUCUCGGUUGAUUUUGCUGUAGCAUCUUGAUGAAGAUGCAUGGUUAAUUUCCUUAUCAAUUUGAGGAAUGGAAUUUUUUCCCAUCCCCACUUAUUACUUAUGACUCCGUGAUCCGUUUCAAGAGGAUGGUAGAAAUAGAAUCCUCCUUUCUUGAAAAACAUAAUGAUUUACAAAGAAUUUAACCUUCUUCCAUCCAUUAGGAGGAGUACUUCAGAAGAAGUUUAUCUAAGUAUGUCUUGAAUCACAAACAAGGAUAUAGCCCAUGUUGCAAUGCAUGGAAAUUCAGC